ACGAACGCUGGCGGCAUGCCUAAUACAUGCAAGUCGAACGAGAUCUUCGGAUCUAGUGGCGCACGGGUGCGUAACGCGUGGGAAUCUGCCCUUGGGUUCGGAAUAACAGCGGGAAACUGCUGCUAAUACCGGAUGAUGACGAAAGUCCAAAGAUUUAUCGCCCAAGGAUGAGCCCGCGUAGGAUUAGGUAGUUGGUGGGGUAAAGGCCUACCAAGCCUACGAUCCUUAGCUGGUCUGAGAGGAUGAUCAGCCACACUGGGACUGAGACACGGCCCAGACUCCUACGGGAGGCAGCAGUAGGGAAUAUUGGACAAUGGGGGCAACCCUGAUCCAGCAAUGCCGCGUGAGUGAUGAAGGCCUUAGGGUUGUAAAGCUCUUUUACCCGGGAUGAUAAUGACAGUACCGGGAGAAUAAGCCCCGGCUAACUCCGUGCCAGCAGCCGCGGUAAUACGGAGGGGGCUAGCGUUGUUCGGAAUUACUGGGCGUAAAGCGCACGUAGGCGGCGAUUUAAGUCAGAGGUGAAAGCCCGGGGCUCAACCCCGGAACUGCCUUUGAGACUGGAUUGCUAGAAUCUUGGAGAGGCGGGUGGAAUUCCGAGUGUAGAGGUGAAAUUCGUAGAUAUUCGGAAGAACACCAGUGGCGAAGGCGGCCCGCUGGACAAGUAUUGACGCUGAGGUGCGA
This 681-nucleotide ribosomal RNA is filed under the name uncultured Alphaproteobacteria bacterium. Its description in RNAcentral is "bacterial SSU rRNA". It matches the Rfam family "Bacterial small subunit ribosomal RNA", at positions 29 to 756 of the family's 1533-position model. The record is from RNAcentral. Lineage: Bacteria; Pseudomonadati; Pseudomonadota; Alphaproteobacteria.